RNAcentral lists this long non-coding RNA (3253 nucleotides) under Nicotiana tabacum (common tobacco). RNAcentral's name for it is "long non-coding RNA (NTAB_LNC016254)". The record is from RNAcentral. Lineage: Eukaryota; Viridiplantae; Streptophyta; Magnoliopsida; Solanales; Solanaceae.
AUUAACUCUUUAAUUUAGUUUGUAAACUUAGAAAACGCAUUUCAUCUCUCUCGUCUCAUCAUCAGAAUCCCUUUCGUCUCUCUCUCUGCUCAUCAGUCUUAAACCUAGAAAAACUCGCCAUCGAUGAACUGUGGGGGCCGCUCUGACGAAGGAAGAUCCAUUCUGGCGAAGGACAACCAUUUCGGCUAAUAUAAGGGGAUCUCAGAUGUAGGUUAUCGGUAUUUUCCCAUGUUCGAUAUUGUUGUUUGAUGUUCGCUAUCGUUUCGCCGGAAACUUAUUUCACUGCUUCUUCUUUUUUCUUUCUCUGGUAAAAUUUCUGAUAAACCCGUUAAUUUACUUUGCCUUUUGUUUGUAGUAUAUGUUAAAUUUUGUGGUUUCUAGUUUGUAAAAUUGGGGCUUUAGUUGGUGAAUUUUGAUAGAUGAAAGGGCUGUUGAAAAUAGAUCAAUUUAAUGUUUAAAUCUUUUUAAAGAUAAUGAUUCGGGAAAUUAAACCAUUGUUAAGACAACUAGUUCAUACAGAUAAGUUGAUUCGGGUUUAGUUGGAGGUUUAGAGGGUGUUUGGCUAAGCUUAUAAGCUGGUCAAACUAGCUUAUAAGCACUUUUCGGCUUAUCUACGCAUUUGGUAAAGUUAAAAGUGCUUAUAAGUCAUGUGCUUAUAAGUCAAAAAUAAGCCAAAAGCCAUAAGUUGGUCACCCCCAACUUAUGAAUUUUUAGCUUAUAAGCACUUUAAGUUUGACCAAGAUUUUUUACUAUUUUAUCCUUAAAAUAUUCUUCUUUAGAAAAAAAAAAUACUUGCAUCGAUACUCACUGCCUCAAGUAUUGUUUCAACCUAAACCCCGCCUCUUAAAGUAUUGAAUUCUCAUUGACUAUUUAAGAUAAGCAAAUUCUCUAUUCCUUUGCAUAUUUGUAUCUUUGUGAUUGUGUAUUAAUCUUUGAAUUGUAUGUAAUAAAUGAGGACAUAUUAAAAUUUUUGGUGUAUUGCAUUCUAAGUGUUGUGGUGAUGAAGACAAUGUUUGUUACUCUUCAAAUAUUUUGUCCUAUUUAGAUUUAUUUUUUACUGAGAAACUUUUGUCAAUGUAUUUAACUAUUAUAACUUAUAAUUAUAUGCUUAUCAUAAAAUAAAUUAUAUUUAUCAUAAAAAUUAUCUUAUCUAAGCAUAUUUGUAUUUAAAAUAAAAUGACAAAUAGAAUAUCUAAGCAUAUUUGUAAGUCAUUUUAACAGAAAAAGAUCUUAUCAGCAUUUUUUUUAUCAAAUACUACAAUAACUUAUUAUUAAUUUCAGCACUUGUAUCCAAACACGUAACUGCUUAUUUAUUAAAUCAGUUUCAGCACUUAAAAAGUGCUUUUCAGCACCUAAUGCUUAUCAGCUGCUUCAAAUCAGCUAAUCCAAACAGGCUCUUAGUAUGGACUUUUAUAAGUGGCUUUUAUUCUAUCUGUCUUAUUAUCUGAUUUUUUUUAUUAAGAGUAUAUAAACCAAUUUAUACUGGUUGUUUUGUUGUUGCUGCAUAUAUUCUGCUUGCUGCUAUUGUUAUUUUAUCUUCUUUCACUGCUUUUUCUUUGUCGUCACUGCUACUUUUGUUUUAAAUUUUCUGUUCUUGCAUAUGACCUUGCCAGGUGAAUAAGAAAAGAGAAAACUCAUAGGAAGAGGCUUAUUGUGGAGGUAAUAGUCUGGUCCUUUGUUUUCACUUUUUCCUUUGGCUUUUCCUUGUCUUGCAAUCUGAAACCAUUACUUGGAAACCAUCAUAUAUGCAUCCUUUCCAACUUACCAUGUGAGGUCAUAGUUUAUUCUGAAACUAUCAUAUGCAGCGCAUUGCCAUAGUUUACUCUGAAACUAUCAUAUGCAUAUCCUUAACUUAUCAUAUGAAGCUGCACUUUAUUUGUCAUUCUAUUGUUAUCAUUUAUAUAAUACCUAUUAAAGCUAUUUUUAUUUGUAUUCUUCAUUUAUCUUGGCCAUUGCUGUUGUCUUUCCCAUCUUUCUCUGCUUCAUUGCUGCUGUCUUUUUUUUUCUUUUCGUUUUUCACUUUGUUGCUACUGCAUGUAUACUCUGCUCGAUGUUGCUGCCAUUUUUAAAGACUAGCCAAAGGUCUUGCAAUCUGAAAUUUCCUAAAACUACUAAACAAAAUACAAUCAUACUUGGACAAGGUGUACAACAUCAAAAGAUAAUUAAGCUAUAAGCAGAAACGAUUAAAUUGUAGAAUGCAAAAAUCGAAGAUGUCUUGGCUUCAUCAGAAGUGUCAAAUUGCUAGUCACUGAGUACUAUUGUGGAGAUAUUAUUGCAGUUGCUCCACACUCAUGAUUGAAGCAAGAAAACGACUAGUUUGGACCAAAUGCCAUAGCGCAUAGGGUUUAACUUUAUUGUUGCUUCUAAUUUGUGAAUUACUCAUCCAAUAUAGCUAUAUUAUCUAAUUUAAUAGGCUUAAGGGUGCUUUACUGUUUUCCUUUUCUGAUUUCUUCCUAUUGUAUGUGAAUUUCCUACUUGUCUUAGAAGAAAAGUAGAUUAUCGUCUACUGUAAAGAAUAUCAGUUGUUUUUAACAGUAAUCUAAUUUUCUAAAUAUGCAUUGAAUACAUUAUGAGUUGAACCAAAGUAUUUUUGCCAGGGCUUAAUGCUUCUUAGGUGCUUCAUGUAGCCUUGUAUUUAUAGGAAGUUAUGACCACAUCUUUAUUUUCCUUUUCAAAGUUUAGCUGAGAAAACUUGUCCAGUUGUUGUUUGAUGUUUCUUUCUGUUGGCAGAAAGUUAUUACCAAAUCUUCUUUUUCCUUUUCGAAGUUUAGCUGAAAAAACUCGUCCAGUUAUUGUUUGAUGUUUCUUUCUGUUGGGAUAGUCGUAUUUACAAAGGAAACUCUACCGAAAAUUUUAAAAAUUUAGAUGUUUCUUUCUGUUGGUCAUUCAGUUACUUUGUGAUUCAAUUAUCUUAAAUUUUUCUUUGUUUAAUUCUGAUUGAAUUUCGUAGGUGUAGCUAUUGCGGAUGAAAGCAGUGAUGAAGACCUUACUUGAGUGUUGUUGAUCGUUGUUAAACUUUCUAUCAUCAUGUUCAAGGAUUGUUGGACUCAUCGAUCAAUUUUGACUUUUGAAUUGUUGAUUAAACAAUGUAUUUAUAAUUUGUUUUUGUAUAUGGAUAAUGCGAGUUGGUAAUUUAAUUUUAUUUCGUGGUUUAUAUAAGUUAUGGUGUAUAAAAUUUCAUUGCAUAGGAAAAUAUUCGUCAUUUUGGUUCCAUAAAUAUUAGAAAUUACAAUAGUGAAUUGUUGCAAUAGAC